UGGGGGAUAUUGCACAAUGGAGGAAACUCUGAUGCAGCGACGCCGCGUGAGUGAAGAAGUAUUUCGGUAUGUAAAGCUCUAUCAGCAGGGAAGAUAAUGACAGUACCUGACUAAGAAGCCCCGGCUAAUUACGUGCCAGCAGCCGCGGUAAUACGUAGGGGGCAAGCGUUAUCCGGAUUUACUGGGUGUAAAGGGAGCGUAGACGGAACGGCAAGUUUGAAGUGAAAUACCCGGGCUUAACCCGGGAACUGCUUUGAAAACUGUCGAUCUAGAGUGUCGGAGAGGUAAGUGGAAUUCCUGGUGUAGUAGUGAAAUGCGUAGAUAUCAGGAAGAACACCG
RNAcentral lists this ribosomal RNA (339 nucleotides) under uncultured Oribacterium sp. Its description in RNAcentral is "bacterial SSU rRNA". It matches the Rfam family "Bacterial small subunit ribosomal RNA", at positions 355 to 711 of the family's 1533-position model. Lineage: Bacteria; Bacillati; Bacillota; Clostridia; Lachnospirales; Lachnospiraceae. The record is from RNAcentral.